CUAAGAAUCUGUCCUUUCAAAUUUAUUGGUCCAUUGGCACUAAAAUAAUGCUGGUACUUUUGGUCCGACCUCAUUUUUCUUUCGGCAUGAUGGUACUGAAUUGUAAUAUCAUGCAAAUAUGCAACCCAUCUGGAGAUGACUAAAUCAUGACUUGAAAUAAAACUGAACAUUUCAUGAAGUUGAGUGAAUAGAGAAGAACUGCAGAACUAGCAGGAAUUACAGAAUAAAAA
This is a long non-coding RNA of Ipomoea triloba (trilobed morning glory), 230 nucleotides long. RefSeq lists it as uncharacterized. The record is from RefSeq and is a predicted model, not a curated record. NCBI's taxonomy places the organism in Eukaryota, Viridiplantae, Streptophyta, Magnoliopsida, Solanales, Convolvulaceae. The transcript is spliced from 2 exons.